RNAcentral lists this ribosomal RNA (506 nucleotides) under Hispellinus nr. coarctatus BMNH#704494. RNAcentral's name for it is "partial 16S ribosomal RNA". It matches the Rfam family "Bacterial large subunit ribosomal RNA", at positions 1829 to 2600 of the family's 2925-position model. Lineage: Eukaryota; Metazoa; Arthropoda; Insecta; Coleoptera; Chrysomelidae. The record is from RNAcentral.
GUCUUUAAGAUUAUUAUUUAAAGUCUAACCUGCCCAAUGAUGAUUUGAAUGGCCGCAGUAUUUUGACUGUGCUAAGGUAGCAUAAUCACUAGUUUUAUAAUUGAAAACUUGUAUGAAGGGUUGGAUGAAGCAUUAACUUUUUUUAAUUAAAUUUUUUAUAAUUUUACUUUUAAGUUAAAAGGCUUAAAUUUUUUAAGGGGACGAGAAGACCCUAUAGAGUUUAAUUUAAUUUUUUGUAUUUUAUUUUGGUAAUUAAAUUUAUAUUUAAAAUUAAAUUUAGUUGGGGUGAUUGAAAAAUUAAAUUAACUUUUUCUCUUAAUAACAAAAAUUUUUGAUUAAUUGAUCCCUUGUUAGGAUUAUAAGAUUAAACUACCUUAGGGAUAACAGCGUAAUUUAUUUUUAGAGUUCUUAUUGAAAAAUAAGUUUGCGACCUCGAUGUUGGAUUAAGAUUUCUUUUUGGUGCAGUAGCUAAAAUAGUAGGUCUGUUCGACCUUUAAAAUCUUACA